CCUGGCGCCCCGCCAGACACGAGAGAAGCGGAGAGCCUGGGAGGUCUGAUCCACCGUUUGUUUCCUGGGGAAGGAAGGGUGCAGAUGACAGCGACAGGCAGGCGGGCGGGAGCCACUCUCGCCGGAGCCCCCCACAUCCUGAGCUCCGAACGGGAGGGGCUAGCCACUGGGCACCUAGCGCCGGCCCUGCCAGGGUUUGUUCGCAGACUUAGUAGUCUUCAGGCCCAGAGUUCCUCAAACAGAAUUCUGCACAGGCCCUGUGGUUCUCCACUAGAAUUAUUUUAGAACGGAACUGGAAAAAAAAAAAAAAUCUAUUACAAAGUUUGUGCUUCUGAGCCCGGCGUGACUACAUUUCACUUCUGUUCCAGUCGAGUGAACGGUGGGAGAAUUGAAUCAUCAACCCCACAUGGUUGCUCAGGAAGGAGGUGUUCCGUGACAAUCAGCAGAAUAGAUCCUUUACAAAAGCACAAACUGCUCCACUGUUGUCUUGGGUGAACUCACUUGUAAUAGUUCUUUAGUGGAAACUGUGACAGUAAUUCAAGUGGCUCAAAUGAUAGCUCGUCAUGAUCAAAAUCAAAAGACGAGGACACAGAAAAUGGAACAUGUGAAAACAUCACUCCGCUACUAUUAAACUCAAUGCAAGAGGUCUAACCAAAGUGCUCUGAAUCCAGAAGGCCUUCCUCAUUCUUUUAACAAAUACUUACUGGGACCUCGGUAUCUGUCAGCCCCUGAUCUUCAAGCUGAGGAUAUCAAGUUUAAUUUGCAGGCUGCAUUAACAGAACGGAAGAGGAUAAAGGAACAGUGCUUUCCUCCCCUACUGAGGCAAGGAAGUGGGGAGAGGGAGGGAGAGAAGGAAGGAAGAAAAGGUUUUCUGACUUGGGACUGGCAUCAGAUAAUUGCUUUCCUUCCAGUUGGACAAUAAAUAAGAUGGGAGGAAUUGACAAGCCCAGGAGACUGGAGGCUGACUUGGCUCCGUAAAGGCCCAUCAACUUCUCCAUCCUUUAUUGAACCAAGGAAAUGCUAUUAAAAUCAUCAUCUCCAGGCAAGGAAAUAUCCUUUUUACUUGGUUUGGUACUUGGAAGUCAUUUGUUUUCUAAUGAUGCUAAAUUCCACCUCUGGCAUUUACAUAUAUCUAAUUUCAAAAGGCAGAAACAGGGAGAAGGCCAAGUUUUUUAAGGCUCUUGGGUUCAUUUUUGAAACCUGUCAGUGCUUCCAGGGCCAAAGAAUUCUACCAGUUGAAAUAAAAUUUUAUAUUCGCAACCAAAACUAAUAAAGCUACAUUCCACCGUGUUAAAAGUG
Long non-coding RNA from Dama dama (fallow deer), 1299 nucleotides. RefSeq lists it as uncharacterized. The transcript is spliced from 5 exons. NCBI's taxonomy places the organism in Eukaryota, Metazoa, Chordata, Mammalia, Artiodactyla, Cervidae. The record is from RefSeq and is a predicted model, not a curated record.